GAGUGAAAUAGAUCCUGAAACCGUAUGCGUACAAGCAGUGGGAGCCUACUUUGUUAGGUGACUGCGUACCUUUUGUAUAAUGGGUCAGCGACUUAUAUUCUGUGGCGAGCUUAACCGUAUAGGGGAGGCGUAGCGAAAGCGAGUCUUAACUGGGCGACCAGUCGCAGGGUAUAGACCCGAAACCGGGCGAUCUAUCCAUGGCCAGGGUGAAGAUUGAGUAACAUCAAUUGGAGGCCCGAACCCAAGUAUUUUGAAAAAUGCUGGGAUGAGCUGUGGAUCGGAGUGAAAGGCUAAUCAAGCCCGGAGAUAGCUGGUUCUCCUCGAAAGCUAUUUAGGUAGCGCCUCACGUAUCACCGCUGGGGGUAGAGCACUGUUUCGGCUAGGGGGUCAUCCCGACUUACCAAACCGAUGCAAACUCCGAAUACCAGCAAGUGUCAGCACGGGAGACACACGGCGGGUGCUAACGUCCGUCGUGAAGAGGGAAACAACCCAGACCGCCAGCUAAGGCCCCAAAUUCCUAGUUAAGUGGGAAACGAUGUGGGAAGGCAUAGACAGCUAGGAGGUUGGCUUAGAAGCAGCCACCCUUUAAAGAAAGCGUAAUAGCUCACU
RNAcentral lists this ribosomal RNA (609 nucleotides) under Prymnesium parvum. RNAcentral's name for it is "partial Bacterial large subunit ribosomal RNA". It matches the Rfam family "Bacterial large subunit ribosomal RNA", at positions 536 to 1146 of the family's 2925-position model. The record is from RNAcentral. Lineage: Eukaryota; Haptophyta; Prymnesiales; Prymnesiaceae.